GCCCUGUGAUGAAGCUGGCGUGUCAGCCUGUCUGUCUAACAGGUGAGACGGGUUCGAUUCCCGUACAGGGCG
Molecule: transfer RNA, 72 nt
Filed under: Planctomycetota bacterium
Lineage: Bacteria; Pseudomonadati; Planctomycetota
Description: Planctomycetes bacterium (rhizosphere metagenome) tRNA-Asp
Rfam family: tRNA
About the family: Transfer RNA (tRNA) molecules are approximately 80 nucleotides in length. Their secondary structure includes four short double-helical elements and three loops (D, anti-codon, and T loops).
Source: RNAcentral